This 253-nucleotide ribosomal RNA is filed under the name uncultured bacterium. RNAcentral describes it as "partial 16S ribosomal RNA". It matches the Rfam family "Bacterial small subunit ribosomal RNA", at positions 524 to 776 of the family's 1533-position model. The record is from RNAcentral.
UACGUAGGUGGCAAGCGUUGUCCGGAUUCAUUGGGUUUAAAGGGUGCGUAGGCGGCCAUUUAAGUCAGUGCUGAAAUAUCACAGCUUAACUGUGAGGGUGUCAUUGAUACUGGGUGGCUUGAGUGCUAGCGAGGCAGGCGGAAUUGACGGUGUAGCGGUGAAAUGCUUAGAUAUCGUCAAGAACACCGAUAGUGUAGACAGCUUGCCAGGGAGCAACUGACGCUGAGGCACGAAAGUGUGGGGAUCAAACAGG